UACGUAGGGGGCGAGCGUUGUCCGGAUUUAUUGGGCGUAAAGAGCGUGUAGGCGGCCAGGCAGGUCUGCUGUGAAAACUCGAGGCUCAACCUCGAGACGUCGGCGGAAACCAUCUGGCUAGAGUCCGGAAGAGGAGAGUGGAAUUCCUGGUGUAGCGGUGAAAUGCGCAGAUAUCAGGAAGAACACCCGUGGCGAAGGCGGCUCUCUGGGACGGUACUGACGCUGAGACGCGAAAGCGUGGGGAGCGAACAGG
RNAcentral lists this ribosomal RNA (253 nucleotides) under uncultured bacterium. RNAcentral's name for it is "partial 16S ribosomal RNA". It matches the Rfam family "Bacterial small subunit ribosomal RNA", at positions 524 to 776 of the family's 1533-position model. The record is from RNAcentral.